RNAcentral lists this ribosomal RNA (279 nucleotides) under uncultured bacterium. Its description in RNAcentral is "partial 16S ribosomal RNA". It matches the Rfam family "Bacterial small subunit ribosomal RNA", at positions 506 to 784 of the family's 1533-position model. The record is from RNAcentral.
UGCCAGCCGCCGCGGUAAUACGGAGGGUGCAAGCGUUGUUCGGAUUCACUGGGUAUAAAGGGUGCGUAGGCGGCCUGUUAAGUCAGGGGUGAAAUAUGACGGCUCAACCGUCAAACUGCCCCUGAAACUGAUAGGCUUGAGUUCGAGAGAGGUUGGUGGAAUUCCUGGUGUAGCGGUGAAAUGCGUAAAUAUCAGGAGGAACACCGGUGGCGAAGGCGGCCAACUGGCUCGAUACUGACGCUCAGGCACGAAAGCAUGGGGAGCGAACGGGAUUAGAUA